Molecule: ribosomal RNA, 207 nt
Filed under: uncultured bacterium
Lineage: Bacteria
Description: partial 16S ribosomal RNA
Rfam family: Bacterial small subunit ribosomal RNA
Source: RNAcentral
CGUGUAGGCGGCCAAACAGGUCCGUUGUGAAAACUGGAGGCUUAACCUCCAGACGUCGACGGAAACCGUGUGGCUAGAGUCCGGAAGAGGAGAGUGGAAUUCCUGGUGUAGCGGUGAAAUGCGCAGAUAUCAGGAAGAACACCAAUGGCGAAGGCAGCUCUCUGGGACGGUACUGACGCUGAGACGCGAAAGCGUGGGGAGCGAACA